RNAcentral lists this ribosomal RNA (2470 nucleotides) under Campylobacter coli. Its description in RNAcentral is "partial 23S ribosomal RNA". It matches the Rfam family "Bacterial large subunit ribosomal RNA", at positions 603 to 2925 of the family's 2925-position model. The record is from RNAcentral. Lineage: Bacteria; Pseudomonadati; Campylobacterota; Epsilonproteobacteria; Campylobacterales; Campylobacteraceae.
GCCUUUUGCAUAAUGAGCCUGCGAGUUGUGGUGUCUGGCAAGGUUAAGCAAACGCGAAGCCGUAGCGAAAGCGAGUCUGAAUAGGGCGCUUAGUCAGAUGCUGCAGACCCGAAACGAAGUGAUCUAUCCAUGAGCAAGUUGAAGCUAGUGUAAGAACUAGUGGAGGACUGAACCCAUAGGCGUUGAAAAGCCCCGGGAUGACUUGUGGAUAGGGGUGAAAGGCCAAUCAAACUUCGUGAUAGCUGGUUCUCUCCGAAAUAUAUUUAGGUAUAGCGUUGUGUCGUAAUAUAAGGGGGUAGAGCACUGAAUGGGCUAGGGCAUACACCAAUGUACCAAACCCUAUCAAACUCCGAAUACCUUAUAUGUAAUCACAGCAGUCAGGCGGCGAGUGAUAAAAUCCGUCGUCAAGAGGGAAACAACCCAGACUACCAGCUAAGGUCCCUAAAUCUUACUUAAGUGGAAAACGAUGUGAAGUUACUUAAACAACCAGGAGGUUGGCUUAGAAGCAGCCAUCCUUUAAAGAAAGCGUAAUAGCUCACUGGUCUAGUGAUUUUGCGCGGAAAAUAUAACGGGGCUAAAGUAAGUACCGAAGCUGUAGACUUGCGCACAACUUAGAUUAUUUAAGUUUAGAAUAUGAGAAACUAAGUUAUAUGUUUAGUUAUAUUUUUACUGAUUUUUAUAGAGUAAAGAUAGAAAUAAAACUUAGUAAAAUCAGUAAAAAUAUUCUUAGAUUAAAGUUAAGUAGUUUAAGUUGUGUGCAAGUGGUAGGAGAGCGUUCUAUUUGCGUCGAAGGUAUACCGGUAAGGAGUGCUGGAGCGAAUAGAAGUGAGCAUGCAGGCAUGAGUAGCGAUAAUUAAUGUGAGAAUCAUUAACGCCGUAAACCCAAGGUUUCCUACGCGAUGCUCGUCAUCGUAGGGUUAGUCGGGUCCUAAGUCGAGUCCGAAAGGGGUAGACGAUGGCAAAUUGGUUAAUAUUCCAAUACCAACAUUAGUGUGCGAUGGAAGGACGCUUAGGGCUAAGGGGGCUAGCGGAUGGAAGUGCUAGUCUAAGGUCGUAGGAGGUUAUACAGGCAAAUCCGUAUAACAAUACUCCGAGAACUGAAAGGCUUUUUGAAGUCUUCGGAUGGAUAGAAGAACCCCUGAUGCCGUCGAGCCAAGAAAAGUUUCUAAGUUUAGCUAAUGUUGCCCGUACCGUAAACCGACACAGGUGGGUGGGAUGAGUAUUCUAAGGCGCGUGGAAGAACUCUCUUUAAGGAACUCUGCAAAAUAGCACCGUAUCUUCGGUAUAAGGUGUGGUUAGCUUUGUAUUAGGAUUUACUCCGAAAGCAAGGAAACUUACAACAAAGAGUCCCUCCCGACUGUUUACCAAAAACACAGCACUCUGCUAACUCGUAAGAGGAUGUAUAGGGUGUGACGCCUGCCCGGUGCUCGAAGGUUAAUUGAUGGGGUUAGCAUUAGCGAAGCUCUUGAUCGAAGCCCGAGUAAACGGCGGCCGUAACUAUAACGGUCCUAAGGUAGCGAAAUUCCUUGUCGGUUAAAUACCGACCUGCAUGAAUGGCGUAACGAGAUGGGAGCUGUCUCAAAGAGGGAUCCAGUGAAAUUGUAGUGGAGGUGAAAAUUCCUCCUACCCGCGGCAAGACGGAAAGACCCCGUGGACCUUUACUACAGCUUGACACUGCUAUUUGGAUAAGAAUGUGCAGGAUAGGUGGGAGGCUUUGAGUAUAUGACGCCAGUUGUAUAUGAGCCAUUGUUGAGAUACCACUCUUUCUUAUUUGGGUAGCUAACCAGCUUGAGUUAUCCUCAAGUGGGACAAUGUCUGGUGGGUAGUUUGACUGGGGCGGUCGCCUCCCAAAUAAUAACGGAGGCUUACAAAGGUUGGCUCAGAACGGUUGGAAAUCGUUCGUAGAGUAUAAAGGUAUAAGCCAGCUUAACUGCAAGACAUACAAGUCAAGCAGAGACGAAAGUCGGUCUUAGUGAUCCGGUGGUUCUGUGUGGAAGGGCCAUCGCUCAAAGGAUAAAAGGUACCCCGGGGAUAACAGGCUGAUCUCCCCCAAGAGCUCACAUCGACGGGGAGGUUUGGCACCUCGAUGUCGGCUCAUCGCAUCCUGGGGCUGGAGCAGGUCCCAAGGGUAUGGCUGUUCGCCAUUUAAAGCGGUACGCGAGCUGGGUUCAGAACGUCGUGAGACAGUUCGGUCCCUAUCUGCCGUGGGCGUAAGAAGAUUGAAGAGAUUUGACCCUAGUACGAGAGGACCGGGUUGAACAAACCACUGGUGUAGCUGUUGUUCUGCCAAGAGCAUCGCAGCGUAGCUAAGUUUGGAAAGGAUAAACGCUGAAAGCAUCUAAGCGUGAAGCCAACUCUAAGAUGAAUCUUCUCUAAGCUCUCUAGAAGACUACUAGUUUGAUAGGCUGGGUGUGUAAUGGAUGAAAGUCCUUUAGCUGACCAGUACUAAUAGAGCGUUUGGCUUAUCUUU